AUUGAACGCUGGCGGCAGGCCUAACACAUGCAAGUCGAACGGUAACAGGAAACAGCUUGCUGUUUCGCUGACGAGUGGCGGACGGGUGAGUAAUGUCUGGGAAACUGCCUGAUGGAGGGGGAUAACUACUGGAACCGGUAGCUAAUACCGCAUAACGUCGCAAGACCAAAGAGGGGGACCUUCGGGCCUCUUGCCAUCAGAUGUGCCCAGAUGGGAUUAGCUAGUAGGUGGGGUAACGGCUCACCUAGGCGACGAUCCCUAGCUGGUCUGAGAGGAUGACCAGCCACACUGGAACUGAGACACGGUCCAGACUCCUACGGGAGGCAGCAGUGGGGAAUAUUGCACAAUGGGCGCAAGCCUGAUGCAGCCAUGCCGCGUGUAUGAAGAAGGCCUUCGGGUUGUAAAGUACUUUCAGCGGGGAGGAAGGGAGUAAAGUUAAUACCUUUGCUCAUUGACGUUACCCGCAGAAGAAGCACCGGCUAACUCCGUG
RNAcentral lists this ribosomal RNA (490 nucleotides) under uncultured bacterium. RNAcentral's name for it is "partial 16S ribosomal RNA". It matches the Rfam family "Bacterial small subunit ribosomal RNA", at positions 30 to 507 of the family's 1533-position model. The record is from RNAcentral.